RNAcentral lists this ribosomal RNA (301 nucleotides) under uncultured bacterium. Its description in RNAcentral is "partial 16S ribosomal RNA". It matches the Rfam family "Bacterial small subunit ribosomal RNA", at positions 509 to 809 of the family's 1533-position model. The record is from RNAcentral.
CAGUAGCCGCGGUAAUACGGAGGGUGCAAGCGUUAAUCGGAAUUACUGGGCGUAAAGCGUGCGUAGGCGGUUCGUUAAGUCUGUUGUGAAAGCCCCGGGCUCAACCUGGGAAUGGCAAUGGAUACUGGCGAGCUAGAGUGUGUCAGAGGAUGGUGGAAUUCCCGGUGUAGCGGUGAAAUGCGUAGAGAUCGGGAGGAACAUCAGUGGCGAAGGCGGCCAUCUGGGACAACACUGACGCUGAGGCACGAAAGCGUGGGGAGCAAACAGGAUUAGAUACCCCGGUAGUCCCUGUCUUUAUACA